AUAUACCACGCGUAAACGCCGGUUCCUGUGCGCCGUCCGCACCCACCUGACGACUGCUCGCUACGUUUUGUUAGCC
Molecule: small RNA, 76 nt
Filed under: Xanthomonas oryzae pv. oryzae
Lineage: Bacteria; Pseudomonadati; Pseudomonadota; Gammaproteobacteria; Lysobacterales; Lysobacteraceae
Description: sX9 sRNA
Rfam family: Xanthomonas sRNA sX9
Source: RNAcentral